UAGAUAUAUAAAGAUAUAGAAAGGGUUAAUUGCAUAUAGGUCUUCGUAAAUAUAGUGAAUUAUAAGUAUAUUUUUGUAAAGUUCAAUUUUUAUAAGUUAUCCCUACAAAAGUUCUAAUAUUUUCAGAUAUGUCCCUUGAUACGGUCCGACCGUAUCAAUAGGGAUAACCGAUCACUUCGAGGGGAUCGAACCUCCUAAAGAAUUGAUAAGUAGAGAAGUAGAGAGAAGAGGUAGAAAGAAAAGACAAGAUAUGAGGGAAAAGAGAUAAUAUUACUUUUUUUUUAUUUCUUGUAACUAUGGGUUACAUUAUAUAGAGUCCAAAUCCUUAAACUACUCCUAAUCAUACCUAAUAAAUCUAUUCCCAAACAAGAUAACUGCCUAUUCCUAAAUAUAUUCCUAAAUAACAAGAUAUUUAAAUUUGAACUUGUUUAUUAAAAGGAAACUAUUAAAAAGGAAAGUUGGGGUCGCAUCAUCUCCUCCGCCCUCGAAAGCCACCUUGUCCUCAAGGUGGAAAAUCCUCAAGCUUGUCUAAUCCUUUUAUAUCAUCUUCUCUAUUUUCAUCAGGUUCGGCCUCGAUCAAAAAUAGUUGCUUUGAUUUGCAUCGAUGUCCGGGUCUAUAUUUUUCAUCACAAUUGUAGCAAAGGCCUUGAUCUCUUCUUACUUUCGCUUCAGCCGGUGUGAGGCGCUUUAUAGGUGGAAGCGUCUCAUUAGACAUUGGUGUUGUAGAGGCAGACAAAAGAGAAGGCUUAGAAUUUAUAAUACGAUGUUGAGCUAUCAACUUUUCCUCUUGUAGACGAGCAAGACCGAUGGCUGCUGACAUAGAAGUUGGUCGGAAGGCUCGGACAUCAUGCUUUAGGUCCUCCCUCAGCCCACUAACGAAGCAACUUAUGAAAAAUGCCUCAGUUAGUCCUGAAGUGCGAUUGGCUAGCAUUUCGAAUCGAGCUUGAUAGUCACGAACACUCUGAGUAGGUCCUUGUUGUAAUUUUGAUAAUUCACCCAUAUAGUCUUCAUACAUGGUUGGACCAAAACGAGUGCAGAGUGCUUCUACGAAAUUCGUCCACGCUACAACUCCACUGCUUUUCUCAAACCAUUGAAACCAUUGCAAUGCUUCCUUCUCCAUAUGGUACGAUGCAAGUGGAACUUUUUGCGCAUCCAGUAUUUGAUUAAAUUUAAAGAAUUGCUCUGCUCGAUACACCCAUCCAGUUGGAUCCUCGCCCUCAAAUCGGGGAAACUCCAGUCUUGUGACACGAGGUAUCACCAUCAUAGAGUUCUCCAUAGUAGGAAUCAAUGUUCCUUCCUUGAAGGGAGUAGGAAGAAGGGGACGACUUUUAUCGGAACUUGCGGCGGAUGUAUCUUCGGACGGUGCUUGCGGUCGCACAUCUAUCUUUGUAUUCAUAGCGAUAAUUAAAUUUUUAAGAUCGUUAAUAGAAUCGCUAAUGGACCUUACCUCGGUCUCCAGUUUGUUCAAUCGAGUAUCAACGUUGUUCAUUUCCUCCCGUCGUACAAACUCCCCGUCUAUCCUUCGUAAGGAUUCUUUUUUUGCUCGAGUUAGGACCAUACAAGCUCUAAUACCAAAUGAUACGGUCCGACCGUAUCAAUAGGGAUAGCCGAUCACUUCGAGGGGAUCGAACCUCCUAAAGAAUUGAGAAGUAGAGAAGUAGAGAGAAGAGGUAGAAAGAGAAGACAAGAUAUGAGGGAAAAGAGACAAUAUUACUUUUUUUUAUUUCUUGUAACUCUGGCUUACAUUAUAUAGAGUCCAAAUCUUUAAACUACUCCUAAUCAUACCUAAUAAAUCUAUUCCCAAACAAGAUAACUGCCUAUUCCUAAAUAUAUUCCUAAAUAACAAGAUAUUUAAAUUUGAACUUGUUUAUUAAAAGAAAACUAUUAAAAAGGAAAGUUGGGAUCGCAUCAUCCCUGCCGUUAGAAUCCGUUAGAAAAGUUUAGUUAAUCAUAGGUUAAAUACUCUACCCCGAUUAAUUUUUGACAUUUUUGUCCCUCUUAUACUAUACUGUUAUAACUUUUAGAAGGCACAUAUUUGUGAUAGCAAAAUUGAAAAUAUAAACAGUUUUUUAAUGGUUAUCUAACGAUAACAAACCAGAGGGACAUAUAUGAAAACAUUAGGACUUUUGCAGGAAUAAUUUAUGAAAGUUGAAUUUUAUAGGGAUAUAUUUACAAUUGACUAUAUUUUGCGGGGACUUGUAUAUAAUUAAACCAUGUAGAUAAUACUAGUAACCAACCUCUGUAAUGCAUGAUAUUAUAAUAAUAUUUUAAAAUUAAUAUUAUUUAAUUUUUAAUAUUAUAAGUUAUAUAUAACAUAAUUUUUAUUAAUAUUAAUAAAUAAAAAUUAAUUUUUUUUGAAGUUGAAAAAAAAUGAUAAAAUAUUUUGAUGUUUUAUGUUGUUUA
This 2403-nucleotide long non-coding RNA is filed under the name Ananas comosus (pineapple). RNAcentral's name for it is "long non-coding RNA (ACOM_LNC028814)". Lineage: Eukaryota; Viridiplantae; Streptophyta; Magnoliopsida; Poales; Bromeliaceae. The record is from RNAcentral.